UGACCUCGGAUCAGGUAGGACUACCCGCUGAACUUAAGCAUAUCAAUAAGCGGAGGAAAAGAAACCAACAGGGAUUGCCUCAGUAACGGCGAGUGAAGCGGCAACAGCUCAAAUUUGAAAUCUGGCUCCCCUUGGGGGUCCGAGUUGUAAUUUGGAGAGGAUGUUUCUGGCGCGGCGCCUUCCGGAGUUCCUUGGAACAGGACGCCACAGAGGGUGAGAGCCCCGUACGGUCGGCCGCCUAGCCUCCACGAAACUCCUUCGACGAGUCGAGUAGUUUGGGAAUGCUGCUCAAAAUGGGAGGUAAAUUUCUUCUAAAGCUAAAUACUGGCCAGAGACCGAUAGCGCACAAGUAGAGUGAUCGAAAGAUGAAAAGCACCUUGAAAAGAGGGUUAAACAGUACGUGAAAUUGUUGAAAGGGAAGCGCCUGCGACCAGACUCGCGCCCCGCGGACCAGCCGGCGUUCUCGCCGGUGCACUCCGCGGGGUGCGGGCCAGCAUCGGUUUUCCCUGGGGGAGAAAGGCUGCGGGAACGUAGCUCCUUCGGGAGUGU
Molecule: ribosomal RNA, 549 nt
Filed under: Ceratocystiopsis sp. MBE6P-3-5-C1
Lineage: Eukaryota; Fungi; Ascomycota; Sordariomycetes; Ophiostomatales; Ophiostomataceae
Description: eukaryotic LSU rRNA
Rfam family: Eukaryotic large subunit ribosomal RNA
Source: RNAcentral